This 437-nucleotide ribosomal RNA is filed under the name uncultured eukaryote. Its description in RNAcentral is "SSU rRNA". It matches the Rfam family "Eukaryotic small subunit ribosomal RNA", at positions 1206 to 1677 of the family's 1831-position model. The record is from RNAcentral.
CGGGGAAACUCACCAGGUCCAGACACAAUGAGGAUUGACAGAUUGAGAGCUCUUUCAUGAUUUUGUGGGUGGUGGUGCAUGGCCGUUCUUAGUUGGUGGAGUGAUUUGUCUGCUUAAUUGCGAUAACGGACGAGAUUUUGGCGAGCAGUUGGGGAAGUUACAUUUUGUAGCGGAACCGUCUACUCGGACAGCUGAUGCAAAUCAGAGGAAGCGAGGCAAUAACAGGUCUGUGAUGCCCUUAGACGUUCUGGGCCGCACGCGCGCUACACUGACUCGGUCAACAAGAUCCUUUGUUUAGCAACACGGGAAAUCUUAUAAACCGGGUCGUGCUGGGGAUAGAGCCUUGCAAUUAUUGCUCUUGAACGAGGAAUUCCUAGUAAGCGCAAGUCAUCAGCUUGCGUUGAUUACGUCCCUGCCCUUUGUACACACCGCCCGUC